Molecule: ribosomal RNA, 394 nt
Filed under: uncultured bacterium
Lineage: Bacteria
Description: bacterial SSU rRNA
Rfam family: Bacterial small subunit ribosomal RNA
Source: RNAcentral
UCAGGGGGAGUAAGCGAUGGAAACGUACGUCUAAUACGCAUAACAACUUAAGAGGCAUCUCUUGAGUUGAAAGUUCGAUGGAUACGGAUUGGCUCGCGAGACAUUAGCCAGUUGGCGGGGUAACGGCCCACCAAAGCGACGAUGUCUAGGGGUUCGUGAGAGGAAGGUACCCCCGACCCACUGGAACGUAGAGACACGGUCCACGGACUCCUACGGGAGGCAGCAGUGAGGAAUAUUGGACAAUGGUCGGAAGACUGAUCCAGCCAUGCCGCGUGAAGGUAGAAGGUCCUUAAUGGAUUGUAAACUUCUUUUGUACGAGAGCAAUAAGUGUCACGUGUGACACGAUGAGAGUAUCGUACGAAUAAGCAUCGGCUAACUCCGUGCCAGCAGCAGC